This is a small nuclear RNA of Suricata suricatta (meerkat), 104 nucleotides long. The record is from Ensembl. Lineage: Eukaryota; Metazoa; Chordata; Mammalia; Carnivora; Herpestidae.
GUGCUUGCUUUAGCAGCACAUAUACUAAAAUUGGAAUGAUACGAAGAUUAGCAUGCUCCUGUGGCAAGGAUGACAUGCAAAUUCGUGAAGUGUUUCAUAUUUUU